UACGGGAGGCAGCAGUGGGGAAUAUUGCACAAUGGGCGCAAGCCUGAUGCAGCCAUGCCGCGUGUAUGAAGAAGGCCUUCGGGUUGUAAAGUACUUUCAGUCGUGAGGAAGGUGUUAAGGUUAAUAACCUUAGCAAUUGACGUUAGCGACAGAAGAAGCACCGGCUAACUCCGUGCCAGCAGCCGCGGUAAUACGGAGGGUGCGAGCGUUAAUCGGAAUUACUGGGCGUAAAGGGCACGCAGGCGGUUAAUUAAGUUGGAUGUGAAAUCCCCGGGCUUAACCUGGGAAUGGCAUUCAAGACUGGUUAGCUAGAGUCUUGUAGAGGGGGUAGAAUUCCGAUGUGUAGCGGUGAAAUGCGUAGAGAUGUGGAGGAAUACCGGUGGCGAAGGCGGCCCCUGGACAAAGGCUGACGCUCAUGUGCGAAAGCGUGGGGAGCAAACG
RNAcentral lists this ribosomal RNA (441 nucleotides) under uncultured bacterium. Its description in RNAcentral is "bacterial SSU rRNA". It matches the Rfam family "Bacterial small subunit ribosomal RNA", at positions 340 to 774 of the family's 1533-position model. The record is from RNAcentral.